This 91-nucleotide transfer RNA is filed under the name Streptomyces globisporus. RNAcentral describes it as "tRNA-Lys". Lineage: Bacteria; Bacillati; Actinomycetota; Actinomycetes; Kitasatosporales; Streptomycetaceae. The record is from RNAcentral. RNAcentral also lists the same sequence under 3 other names.
CGCCGAGGUGGCGGGCGUCGACCCCGGGCUCUUCACCCGGAAGCUGGCCGGGCGCGGCCGGGUCUGCGGGGUGCAGUUCCGGCCCGGCGGC